GAGACUCUGUGCGCGUGCAUAUCAAUAAGCGGAGGAAAAGAAACUAACUAGGAUUCCCUCUAGUAACGGCGAGUGAAGCGGGAAGAGCUCAAAUUUGAAAUCUUCAAGGUUUUACCUUGACGAAUUGUAGUUUAAAGAAGUGUUUUCUGUUGGUAGUUUUGGUAAAAGUUCUUUGGAAUAGGACAUCAUAGAGGGUGAGAAUCCCGUAUUUGACCAUUAUUUUCCAGCUGUGUGAUACACUUUCAAAGAGUCGGAUUGUUUGGGAAUGCAGUCCAAAAUGGGUGGUAAAUUUCAUCUAAAGCUAAAUAUUGGCGAGAGACCGAUAGCGAACAAGUACCGUGAGGGAAAGAUGAAAAGAACUUUGAAAAGAGAGUUAAACAGUACGUGAAAUUGUCAAAAGGGAAGCGUUUGACACCAGUGUUGUUUUCUCGAAAAUCAAUUAAAAAAGGAUGGGAUUUUGUGUUGUAUUGACCUUUAAUCAGCUUUCUUCACUCUUUUUCUUGAUCUUUUUUAAUGCACUUUUCGUUUAACAAGUCAACAUCAAUUUCUUUUGUUGUAAAAGAGUCAUUGGAAGGUGGCUUUUUUCUUCGGAAAAAGUGUUUAUAGCCUUUGGCUUCUGCAAUCGGAGAGAUUGAGGUCUGCAGCGUAGAUCCUUCGGGGUUAGAUACAUUUGUGCUAAGCUAUAGUUCUUUAUAGACAACUUGUUGACUAUAAUCAAUCCUGUAACUUACUCGCUUAUGCUAUUUUACCUACGCUUAGGAUGUUGACAGCAGUAUAGACUGU
RNAcentral lists this ribosomal RNA (783 nucleotides) under uncultured Neocallimastigales. RNAcentral describes it as "partial large subunit ribosomal RNA". The stretch from base 5 to 702 matches the Rfam family "Eukaryotic large subunit ribosomal RNA", at positions 24 to 664 of the family's 3401-position model. Lineage: Eukaryota; Fungi; Neocallimastigomycota; Neocallimastigomycetes; Neocallimastigales. The record is from RNAcentral.